RNAcentral lists this small RNA (413 nucleotides) under Cryptococcus neoformans H99. Its description in RNAcentral is "Cryptococcus neoformans var. grubii H99 hypothetical RNA". The record is from RNAcentral. Lineage: Eukaryota; Fungi; Basidiomycota; Tremellomycetes; Tremellales; Cryptococcaceae.
CUUUUUUCUUCUUCUCAUUAUCUACUCUGCAAGUUUCGUCUUCUCUCAAGCACCAUGGCCACUUGAAUAUUAAUCAAUAAGAUGAGGAUCGCAGCUACUAUGACAGAUGUUCUUUCAUGAUAGGCUCUGGCUGUAAAAUCUCAAGCGCUUUAGUCAUUUCUCUUCCUGGUACCGCGCCAAGUCACACGGACGAAUCACUUUUGUGAUCAGAGUAAGGUAAGCGUCAUGUCACAUCCUCGCCAAUACCCCAGCGGGUUUGUCAACCUUGCGUGGCAGCGAUAUGGAUAUGAAGGUUCGUUCGUGCAACACGCUGUUCCGCGCUGGCAGCCAGACUAGGUCCUGUCAUUACAUAGCAUUGUAUCUCGUCAGUAUGCGUUGUUCUGGAAUGCAUCUCUCGUUUUGUCAUAAUCGUG